UACGGAGGUGGCGAGCGUUGUUCGGAAUCACUGGGCGUAAAGGGCGCGUAGGCGGGGUCGGAAGUCGGGUGUGAAAGCCCCGGGCUCAACCCGGGAACGGCGCCCGAGACUCUGGCUCUCGAGUCCCGGAGAGGCGGGUGGAAUUCCUGGUGUAGCGGUGAAAUGUGUAGAGAUCAGGAGGAACACCGGUGGCGUAGGCGGCCCGCUGGACGGAGACUGACGCUGAGGCGCGAAAGCGUGGGGAGCGAUCCGG
RNAcentral lists this ribosomal RNA (253 nucleotides) under uncultured bacterium. RNAcentral's name for it is "partial 16S ribosomal RNA". It matches the Rfam family "Bacterial small subunit ribosomal RNA", at positions 524 to 776 of the family's 1533-position model. The record is from RNAcentral.